This 443-nucleotide ribosomal RNA is filed under the name uncultured bacterium. RNAcentral describes it as "SSU rRNA". It matches the Rfam family "Bacterial small subunit ribosomal RNA", at positions 26 to 518 of the family's 1533-position model. The record is from RNAcentral.
AGAACGAACGCUGGCGGCAGGCUUAACACAUGCAAGUCGAGCGCCUCGCAAGAGGAGCGGCAGACGGGUGAGUAACGCGUGGGAAUCUACCCAUCCUUACGGAACAACUCCGGGAAACUGGAGCUAAUACCGUAUACGCCCUUCGGGGAAAGAUUUAUCGAGGAUGGAUGAGCCCGCGUUGGAUUAGCUAGUUGGUGGGGUAAAGGCCUACCAAGGCGACGAUCCAUAGCUGGUCUGAGAGGAUGAUCAGCCACAUUGGGACUGAGACACGGCCCAAACUCCUACGGGAGGCAGCAGUGGGGAAUAUUGGACAAUGGGCGCAAGCCUGAUCCAGCCAUGCCGCGUGAGUGAUGAAGGCCCUAGGGUUGUAAAGCUCUUUCACCGGAGAAGAUAAUGACGGUAUCCGGAGAAGAAGCCCCGGCUAACUUCGUGCCAGCAGCCGC